UUGGUGUAAAUAGCUACUCGAAUUGCCCUAUGGUUGUAGGUGUCUAAUCCAUUGCUUCCUCCAUAUCUUUCUCAUAAUGGUUCUUUCUCUUAAUCUCUGUAAUCGAAAAAAACCAGAUGAAUUAAGCAAUUAGUGUGCCAUCCUUUAGCUAAUGGAUGAAAAAUAUGUAACUCAUCUAUUUCAUAAAAUAGAUAAGUAUUAUAGCAAAACCUUCAAAGAGAGAAUUGCAAGAUGAGUAUCUUGUUAGGAAAAGAAAAACAGAUAUGCAUAGCUAUUGCAAGUCU
This 284-nucleotide long non-coding RNA is filed under the name Elaeis guineensis (African oil palm). RNAcentral's name for it is "long non-coding RNA (EGUI_LNC042186)". Lineage: Eukaryota; Viridiplantae; Streptophyta; Magnoliopsida; Arecales; Arecaceae. The record is from RNAcentral.